UUGCUCGGGAAAAGCAUCUGAGGAAAUCCUUGGCAUUCAGGCUAGUUUGUGAGUGCACUUUAUGUGGUGGUGGUGGUACUAGCGAACCUGCCAGGAGAUUGGAGCCUCAAGCUGGGGAAGAUUGACAGCAGCCAUGGAUGCCAGCAAUUGCAGUAUGGGCUUGUUCAGAACCCAUCUUCAGGCUCUACCAUCCCUAACUCAGUCAUGGUGCCUCCUGAGUCUGAAGGAUGAUCAGGCAUAGGGCAGCCAGGAUGCUGAGGUCUGGAGUACUGGCAGGAGAGGAAGGAGCUCUGUAGGCUGGGGAGUGGAAUAGUGCCCAAGGCUGUGAUUCAUAGGUGUCAGAGGGUUUAAAUAGGUAUCAAGUUGGAGAUGCAUUUGUGGCUCAGGAAGAAAGAACACAGGUGCUAUAAUAUAAAAACAGAUUUAAAACAUGAUAAAGCGUUGGAGGACAGCGAUGAUCUAUGGACUCAUGCAGAUCUGUCAAGAUGUCGAGAAGAAGCAGUUGCUCCUGGGCUGAGAAUGAUGACAUGGACUGUCUCCUCCAGGAUAUGAGCGGUGUCCGACGGCAACUUGACACUUAUCAAAAGGCUUCUGCUUCGUGCUUGGCUUUGUUUGUGUUCAGUCGUCUUAAGAACCAGGCAUUCAUAGCAGAAUUCAACAGCAACGGCUCUAAAUGUGACAGUAACUGUUUAACCUGGCAGACUCAUGGGGACUCCCGUGGGACAUUGAAGACAACAUUGUUCUAAUUGCAGACUAGGUAAUACUUGCAAUUCUUACAAGAACAAACACGAGAAGCCCAGAGGUUAUAAUUUCAGAAUUAGCAGCAGGGGGCAUAAUUAAUUGUCAAUUUGUAGCAUCAUGUGUCCUCGUUUUCUUUCUCCUUUUUUGGUUUUGCGAAAAUUUUCAAAGAGAAAGCUUUUGUUUGUUGCUGACACCCCAUAUUUCUGUAUGCAUAUAAACACAAAUAUGUCCUCCAGGGAGAGGUUGGGAUUAUCUUAACAAUGGUUUUGACGUGAAGAAACACAAGAUAAAUGAGGUUAAAGGUAUAGUCUGGGGAAGGCCCACAGUGUUGAUGAAGGCAGAUGCACUAUGAAAUAUGGGUAAAGAAUAUAUGAGAGACAGAAGUGCAUGCACCUGAGUGAGGAAGAAACGGAAGCUUUUGCAGAGCAAGUGACAUUUGCUCAGAGCUUGAAAAUGCGUAUGUGCUUGCCAGACCGACAGACUUUUCAGUAUGUUACAACAUGCAAGCCCCAAUACUAAAGCCUAUUGGGAAAGGAUAAUAAAGGGUGUGGCUUGGAGGGUAGAAGCAGCUUAAAACUUUCAAAUUCCACUUGUUCUCUUCAGUUGUGUUUGAUGGUUCCCAGACAGAUAAUACAUAUGGAAAACCCACUUUCAAUAGGAAGCCUAUUAAAUAUCUUUUUUGGAGGAGACCUUAGUGACAGAUUAUUUGUCCAGAAUACAUGUGGAGGGUUGGAGGGGCAACUGAGUGGGUAAAAUGCUUGCCAUGCAAGUAUGAGGACCUGAUUUUGAUUUCUCAGAGCUCAUGUUAAAAAAAAAAAUUAGGGCAGUGGAGACAUGAGACACGAGGAAGUCCGGGGCUUGCUGGCCCAGCUUCCUGGGCAACUCUCAGGCCAGUAGGCGCUCUGUAAUAACUUCUUAGUGUGCAAAUGAAUGAAAGAGUAGCACUUAUGUCACUUUAAAUCAAAAGCUAGCGAUGGCAUAAUGAGGAAGAUAAACUGAAAGCUGAGGUAAGCUAAAAGCUAUGUUCUUGCAAAGUAUCAUAUCUACACUCUUGGAGCUCACACA
This is a non-coding RNA of Peromyscus maniculatus bairdii (prairie deer mouse), 1806 nucleotides long. NCBI's taxonomy places the organism in Eukaryota, Metazoa, Chordata, Mammalia, Rodentia, Cricetidae. The record is from RefSeq and is a predicted model, not a curated record.